AUUUGAUGGUGUGGACAGCUUACACACAAUUUCUUGAAGCGCUCCCGAUACUCAUACAAGGUCUCUUCAUUAUAUUGUCAAAUGUCUCAGAUUUCCUUCCUGAUAUU
Pistacia vera is the source of this 107-nucleotide small nucleolar RNA. NCBI's taxonomy places the organism in Eukaryota, Viridiplantae, Streptophyta, Magnoliopsida, Sapindales, Anacardiaceae. The record is from RefSeq and is a predicted model, not a curated record.